UUGCUUCUUUGCUGACGAGUGGCGGACGGGUGAGUAAUGUCUGGGAAACUGCCUGAUGGAGGGGGAUAACUACUGGAAACGGUAGCUAAUACCGCAUAACGUCGCAAGACCAAAGAGGGGGACCUUCGGGCCUCUUGCCAUCGGAUGUGCCCAGAUGGGAUUAGCUUGUUGGUGGGGUAACGGCUCACCAAGGCGACAAUCCCUAGCUGGUCUGAGAGGAUGACCAGCCACACUGGAACUGAAACACGGUCCAAACUCCUACGGGAGGCAGCAGUGGGGAAUAUUGCACAAUGGGCGCAAGCCUGAUGCACCCAUGCCGCGUGUAUGAAGAAGGCCUUCGGGUUGUAAAGUACUUUCAGCGGGGAGGAAGGGAGUAAAUUAAUACCUUUGCUCAUUGACGUUCCCCGCAAAAAAAGCACCGGCUAACUCCGUGCCAGCAGCCGCGGUAAUACGGAGGGUGCAAGCGUUAAUCGGAAUUACUGGGCGU
RNAcentral lists this ribosomal RNA (487 nucleotides) under Shigella flexneri. Its description in RNAcentral is "bacterial SSU rRNA". It matches the Rfam family "Bacterial small subunit ribosomal RNA", at positions 74 to 561 of the family's 1533-position model. The record is from RNAcentral. Lineage: Bacteria; Pseudomonadati; Pseudomonadota; Gammaproteobacteria; Enterobacterales; Enterobacteriaceae.